UUUUUUCUUGAUCAGAGCUGC
RNAcentral lists this non-coding RNA (21 nucleotides) under Caenorhabditis elegans. The record is from RNAcentral. Lineage: Eukaryota; Metazoa; Nematoda; Chromadorea; Rhabditida; Rhabditidae.